GGAUUAAUGCCCCAUAGUAUAUAAACUUCGCAUGUUGUUUAUAUUAAAGUUCCAACGGUAAAAGAUGAGCAUGCGUCCCAUUAGUUAGUUGGUAAGGUAACGGCUUACCAAGACGAUGAUGGGUAGGGGUCCUGAGAGGGAGAUCCCCCACACUGGUACUGAGACACGGACCAGACUCCUACGGGAGGCAGCAGUGAGGAAUAUUGGACAAUGGGCGCAAGCCUGAUCCAGCCAUGCCGCGUGCAGGAAGAAGCAUCUAUGGUGUGUAAACUGCUUUUGUACAGGAAGAAACACUCCCUCGUGAGGGAGCUUGACGGUACUGUAAGAAUAAGGAUCGGCUAACUCCGUGCCAGCAGCCGCGGUAAUACGGAGGAUCCAAGCGUUAUCCGGAAUCAUUGGGUUUAAAGGGUCCGUAGGCGGUCUAAUAAGUCAGUGGUGAAAGCCCAUCGCUCAACGAUGGAACGGCCACUGAUACUGUUAGACUUGAAUUACUGGGAAGUAACUAGAAUAUGUAGUGUAGCGGUGAAAUGCUUAGAUAUUACAUGGAAUACCAAUUGCGAAGGCAGGUUACUACCAGUGGAUUGACGCUGAUGGACGAAAGCGUGGGGAGCG
Molecule: ribosomal RNA, 612 nt
Filed under: uncultured Bacteroidota bacterium
Lineage: Bacteria; Pseudomonadati; Bacteroidota
Description: bacterial SSU rRNA
Rfam family: Bacterial small subunit ribosomal RNA
Source: RNAcentral